CGAUGAACCACUUCGGUGGGGAUUAGUGGCGAACGGGUGAGUAACACGUGGGCAAUCUGCCCUGCACUCUGGGACAAGCCCUGGAAACGGGGUCUAAUACCGGAUAUGACCAUCUUGGGCAUCCUUGAUGGUGUAAAGCUCCGGCGGUGCAGGAUGAGCCCGCGGCCUAUCAGCUUGUUGGUGAGGUAACGGCUCACCAAGGCGACGACGGGUAGCCGGCCUGAGAGGGCGACCGGCCACACUGGGACUGAGACACGGCCCAGACUCCUACGGGAGGCAGCAGUGGGGAAUAUUGCACAAUGGGCGAAAGCCUGAUGCAGCGACGCCGCGUGAGGGAUGACGGCCUUCGGGUUGUAAACCUCUUUCAGCAGGGAAGAAGCGAAAGUGACGGUACCUGCAGAAGAAGCGCCGGCUAACUACGUGCCAGCAGCCGCGGUAAUACGUAGGGCGCGAGCGUUGUCCGGAAUUAUUGGGCGUAAAGAGCUCGUAGGCGGCUUGUCGCGUCGGUUGUGAAAGCCCGGGGCUUAACCCCGGGUCUGCAGUCGAUACGGGCAGGCUAGAGUUCGGUAGGGGAGAUCGGAAUUCCUGGUGUAGCGGUGAAAUGCGCAGAUAUCAGGAGGAACACCGGUGGCGAAGGCGGAUCUCUGGGCCGAUACUGACGCUGAGGAGCGAAAGCGUGGGGAGCGAACAGGAUUAGAUACCCUGGUAGUCCACGCCGUAAACGGUGGGCACUAGGUGUGGGCAACAUUCCACGUUGUCCGUGCCGCAGCUAACGCAUUAAGUGCCCCGCCUGGGGAGUAC
Molecule: ribosomal RNA, 801 nt
Filed under: Streptomyces sp.
Lineage: Bacteria; Bacillati; Actinomycetota; Actinomycetes; Kitasatosporales; Streptomycetaceae
Description: bacterial SSU rRNA
Rfam family: Bacterial small subunit ribosomal RNA
Source: RNAcentral